Molecule: ribosomal RNA, 400 nt
Filed under: uncultured eukaryote
Lineage: Eukaryota
Description: bacterial SSU rRNA
Rfam family: Eukaryotic small subunit ribosomal RNA
Source: RNAcentral
CAAUAGCGUAUAUUAAAGUUGUUGCAGUUAAAAAGCUCGUAGUUGGACUUCUGGGUUGUGAUUGUGGUCCGCCUAACGGUGUGCACUGUGGUUGCGACUCUUCUUCCCGUAGUUUGGGGGUGCACUUAGUUGUGUGCUUUUGGAAUAUGGGACCUUUACUUUGAAAAAUUAGAGUGUUCAAAGCAGGCCUUCGCUUGAAUACAUUAGCAUGGAAUAAUAGAAUAGGACUUUGGUUCUAUUUUGUUUGGUUUCUUAGGACCGAAGUAAUGAUUAAUAGGGACGAGUUGGGGGCGAUUAGUAUUUAAUUUGUCAGAGGUGAAAUUCUUGGAUUUAUUGAAAGAACUAACUACUGCGAAAGCAUUUGUCCAAGGAUGUUUUCUAUUAAUCAAGAACGAAAGUU